RNAcentral lists this ribosomal RNA (508 nucleotides) under uncultured bacterium. Its description in RNAcentral is "partial 16S ribosomal RNA". It matches the Rfam family "Bacterial small subunit ribosomal RNA", at positions 30 to 523 of the family's 1533-position model. The record is from RNAcentral.
AUUGAACGCUGGCGGCAUGCCUUACACAUGCAAGUCGAACGGCAGCGGGGGAGAAGCUUGCUUUUCCUGCCGGCGAGUGGCGAACGGGUGAGUAAUACAUCGGAACGUGCCCUGUAGUGGGGGAUAACUAGUCGAAAGAUUAGCUAAUACCGCAUACGACCUGAGGGUGAAAGUGGGGGACCGCAAGGCCUCAUGCUAUAGGAGCGGCCGAUGUCUGAUUAGCUAGUUGGUGGGGUAAAGGCCUACCAAGGCGACGUUCAGUAGCUGGUCUGAGAGGACGGCCAGCCACACUGGGACGGCGACCCGGCCCAGACUCCCACGGGAGGCAGCAGUGGGGAAUUUUGGACAAUGGGCGAAAGCCUGAUCCAGCAAUGCCGCGUGUGUGAAGAAGGCCUUCGGGUUGUAAAGCACUUUUGUCCGGAAAGAAAUGGCUCUGGUUAAUACCUGGGGUCGAUGACGGUACCGGAAGAAUAAGGACCGGCUAACUACGUGCCAGCCGCCGCGGUAA